GAUGAAUAACGUAGCGAAAUGCGAUAAGUAAUGUGAAUUGCAGAAUUCAGUGAAUCAUCGAAUCUUUGAACGCACCUUGCGCCCUUUGGCCAUUCCGAAGGGCAUGCCUGUUUGAGUAUCAUGAACACCUCAACUCUUCAUGGUUUUCCGUGAUGAGCUUGGACUUUGGGGGUCUUGCUGGCCUAUGGUCAGCUCCUCUAAAAUAAAUCAGCUUGCCAGUGUUUGGUGGGUAUCACAGGUGUGAUAACUAUCUACGCUUGUGGUUUUCCACCAGGUAACCUUCAGCAGUGGAGGUUCGCUGGAGCUCACAGAUGUGUCUCUCCUCAGUGAGGACAGCUCUUUGAAUGUUUGAUCUCAAAUCAGGUAGGACUACCCGCUGAACUUAAGCAUAUCAAUAAGCGGAGGA
Molecule: unclassified non-coding RNA, 406 nt
Filed under: soil metagenome
Description: partial contains 5.8S ribosomal RNA, internal transcribed spacer 2, and large subunit ribosomal RNA
Rfam family: 5.8S ribosomal RNA (bases 1-121)
Source: RNAcentral